AUUGAACGCUGGCGGCAGGCCUAACACAUGCAAGUCGAGCGGAUGAAGGGAGCUUGCUCCUGGAUUCAGCGGCGGACGGGUGCGUAAUGCCUAGGAAUCUGCCUGGUAGUGGGGGAUAACGUCCGGACACGGGCGCUAAUACCGCAUACGUCCUGAGGGAGAAAGUGGGGGAUCUUCGGACCUCACGCUAUCAGAUGAGCCUAGGUCGGAUUAGCUCGUUGGUGGGGUAAAGGCAUACCAAGGCGACGAACCGUAACUGGUCUGAGAGGAUGAUCAGUCACACUGGAACUGAGACACGGUCCAGACUCCUACGGGAGGCAGCAGUGGGGAAUAUUGGACAAUGGGCGAAAGCCUGAUCCAGCCAUGCCGCGUGUGUGAAGAAGGUCUUCGGAUUGUAAAGCACUUUAAGUUGGGAGGAAGGGCAGUAAGUUAAUACCUUGCUGUUUUGACGUUACCAACAGAAUAAGCACCGGCUAACUUCGUG
Molecule: ribosomal RNA, 484 nt
Filed under: uncultured bacterium
Lineage: Bacteria
Description: partial 16S ribosomal RNA
Rfam family: Bacterial small subunit ribosomal RNA
Source: RNAcentral